AUUGAACGCUGGCGGCAGGCCUAACACAUGCAAGUCGAACGGUAGCACAGAGAGCUUGCUCUCGGGUGACGAGUGGCGGACGGGUGAGUAACGUCUGGGAAACUGCCCGAUGGAGGGGGAUAACUACUGGAAACGGUAGCUAAUACCGCAUAACGUCGCAAGACCAAAGUGGGGGACCUUCGGGCCUCACACCAUCGGAUGUGCCCAGAUGGGAUUAGCUAGUAGGUGGGGUAAUGGCUCACCUAGGCGACGAUUCCUAGCUGGUCUGAGAGGAUGACCAGCCACGCUGGAACGGAGACACGGUCCAGACUCGUAAGGGAGGGAGCGGUGGGGAAUAUUGCACAAGGGGCGCAAGCCUGAUGCAGCCAUGCCGCGUGUAUGAAGAAGGCCUUCGGGUUGUAAAGUACUUUCAGCGGGGAGGAAGGCGGUGAAGUUAACAGCUUCACCGAUUGACGUUACCCGCAGAAGAAGCACCGGCUAACUCCGUGCCAGCCGCCGCCGUAA
Molecule: ribosomal RNA, 504 nt
Filed under: uncultured bacterium
Lineage: Bacteria
Description: partial 16S ribosomal RNA
Rfam family: Bacterial small subunit ribosomal RNA
Source: RNAcentral